AAUUCAUCAACGAGCAUUUAAAAAUAUUUGGCAUCGUGUCUUUCAUUCGCAGCUCUCGUUGACACCCGCCUUUUGCUGACAAUAGCUCGUCAUUAAAAUAAGUACUUGAAACAAAGGCUCAAUAAAGCAGAGACAUUAGAAGCUUUAGUUCUUCGAACACAAAGAUCUACUCUCCGCUGACAAGCUUGUUCAUCAAUUCACAGAAUCUAUCGAUCGAAGAAAAGAAAAUCGUUUUAAAACAAAACUUUCUAAAGAAAAUGUGGGGAAAAAACGAUUUAUCGAUCGAAUCCACAAAAAAAAAGAUCAGCGAACAGGUGACGUGCUUUCAUUACAUGAGGCUGUCCAGCUCAAGUCACAAAGGGACGAUAUUUUAAGUUUAUCUACAGUCAACUAACUACAAACACAUGUGCCUGCGAAUAAUGUGGCUAAAAAAAGAAAGAGUGAAGAUGCCAAGAAAACAAGAAGGAAAUAGAAAUUAUUGGUUAAUAUACGUCACCCAAGAGGUCGACGAGAUGGUAUGGCAUGAGUCGUCGACAGAAGAACAGGAUCUCAUUUCCGGUUCAUUUAUCAUAUGUGCUCCAACGCCAGUUGAUAAAGAGUAGAAGACCAAAAAGAAAAAGGCGACGUAAAAAAAGAAAGCUUUCCAGGACCAAUAUUAAAGAACGUACACCCAGGUCCCAGUGAGAUUAGCAGACGGCUGCUUCCGACACACGGUGACGGCCCGUUCAUCAAAAAAGAGUAACAUGCAAUUGUUCGACACUAUCGCUCACUGUUCACUGUCAGGUUAGUGCAACUAACCCUCUCUGUCUUCUUCAUCUGAGAUCUCCCGCGAUGAAUAAUGCUACUGUACGUAAACAAUCUUCAAGACUUUGUUAGUUGUGCCUUUGUACUAAUCUGUGCCAGACGCCAUUUUCGAAGGAUCAAAGCAAGAGAAAAAAAAAAGCAAACAAAAAUGGCAUCUUAGGAAUGUUUAGUCAUCACACAGCACAGCUGGCCGUAACUAAUAAGAGCUUUUAAAUUCUGUUUCGAAAGGAAAAAAGACUUUUGGGUGAUCGCCCAGUAAUGCCUGCUUCCAAUUUCACGCAAUUGAACGUGCGGAACAAUUGACGUUCACAUAGCAAGACCGAGUUUUUUCUUUUCAUUCAAUUUUUUUUUUCUUAAACCAAUAUUGACUUAUACACAAAUGAUUUGCUUUAGCUCUCUUUUGUUUUUCGUAUGUUCCUGUGAUUAUUUAAUUCGUCAAGGCAGCGAACAUGCGACAGACCCACGAAGAACUCUGGCGAGGUUGAAAAAUUCCAGCAGCACAACCACACAUUAGUCGACCAAGACACCCUCCAAAAAGAGGAGAUAACAGUCGCCAGACCAGCUGUUAUUUCAACAAAAAAAUGCCUACAAAAAAAGCUUGUAAAACAGCGAGAAGAAACCAAGGAAAAAUUGCUCAAAGAGGGUAAUGGUGGGUGUGCGAACAUCCGAUUGGAACCCACGCGUUAUCAAGAGGUUCGUUGCCCAGAUUGCCGUACAAUGAACAUGUAAUGUUCAGUGUCCAGUAAUUAAAACAAAAAAUGGUGGAAAAAAAAUAACAACAUAAGAUUCAAAAAUCAACGAAGAGGUAGCAACUACAUUUUUUUUUAAUACUUUGGCCGCGCUAACCACACACACACACACACAAAUAAAAGUAAAAAUACAUUAAAAAGUUUAAAAUUAAACGGCAAAAAAUAUAUACCUCAAAGUCAAGGUUUUUUCAUUUUUGGUUCUUUCUUUCUAGCUGAUGGCCUCUACCGAGCAGUCGGACGGAAAGAAAAGAAUGAACGGACAAAAAAAAAACGAAACAGAAAUAACGCUUUAUUUAUUGUUUAAAAUUGAAAAAUAAGAAAUGUAGCUGCCGAGUUGGUUUGUCGUUUUGGAAAAAAUAUGCCGUGUAUUGUGCCACCGAAGACGGAUGAACAUUGCCGGGGCAAGGUUUAAAACUCGCGCUUAAAAACACAGCAGAUGGUAACUUUCUGGUGUUCUUGGUAUCCCCACUUUUUUUGUUUUUGUUGAAUUUUUGUUUUUCCUUUGAAAAGAAAGAAAAUGAAAAGAAAGUAAAAUGCAUUUUGAGCGGAAUACAAAGCUGGCCUCAUGAUUGCAGUACUUUUGUAUAGGUUUUUCAUGACUUGUCUUUCAAAGUUUUUCCUUUGCUGCCAUAAGAAACUAUCAUUCUACUGCUGAAAUGAUGUUUCUUCUACAUCCCCCUGCAAAAUUGUCUUCCUCACGAGACGUCCUUAAGUUUACGGAUGUUACUAAGGCCAAGGCCCAGAUACUACCUUUUUAUGAACUGUGAUUACAACCAUAUAAACCAGAAUUUACAAAGGGUCCACAAACUAGCGUCCUCUUAUCCGGGAAUAUCUUCUUCUGUAUCAUUUUUCUCUUUUCUUUCGAGAGUGAGUGUUUUAUCUUUGCGAUUAUUAUUUGUUAGAAUUUCUUGAUGAAAACAACGAAUGUAAACACGAAAGAGUCCUUCGACUAUCGC
This is a long non-coding RNA of Daphnia magna, 2509 nucleotides long. RefSeq lists it as uncharacterized. The record is from RefSeq and is a predicted model, not a curated record. The transcript has 4 exons. NCBI's taxonomy places the organism in Eukaryota, Metazoa, Arthropoda, Branchiopoda, Diplostraca, Daphniidae.